This is a long non-coding RNA of Esox lucius (northern pike), 690 nucleotides long. NCBI's taxonomy places the organism in Eukaryota, Metazoa, Chordata, Actinopteri, Esociformes, Esocidae. The record is from Ensembl.
AUGAACCAAAGAAUGUUCGUGGACAUGCACCUCGCGGGCAGUCCCCUGUGCUUCUUGAGAAACCUCCUGAUGAAACAACUGGUGCCUGUGGUUAUACACCAAACAAGGAGACCAAGGGCUUGUUAGAUGCGGACUUGGUUCAAAAGGGGACUGGUUCCUUUUCUACUAAAGAGAUGAAUGAAUGUCAUCAGAACGGGAUGGAAGACUACAAACCGAAAAAAACAUUCAAAUUCAAAGUUCGACAUGGAAAUCGUCAAAGAUCUUCAAGUGCCGGGGAGAAUUUACAGGCUAGCAGUUUACAUCAAGACUCACCACGAAGAAAAUCUGCGGAUGACCUUCUAGAAGGUGAUGUGCCUCAAAAAGGAGCAGAUCUCUUCUAUGUUGGACAGAUUGAGGAAGAACCCAAUGUGAUGGAGCACUGCAAGCCGAAGAAACCAUCUAUAUUUAAGAAACCGUUUGCAAGUCGUCGGAAAUCAGCCCCAAUCCAGGAAAUGUUUCAGCAUGAAAAUUCAGGGAUUAUAACAGAACGCUAUACACCUCGGCGAGCAUCCCAUGAGGGCUUUCUAGGCGAUGAGACUCCUCAGAGGAGGUCAGAUCUGUUCUCAGCACAAGGAAAAGAAGACGAUUAUGAAGAUACUGCAUUUAGCAAGCCGAAUCGAGACAGAAAUGGAGGGAUGGCUGAGUACCCAC